CUUUCCUCCCAAUCGAAUAUCUAUCAGUCAAUCUGUAGGGUUCGCUUCGCUUUAUCUGAAAUCAAACGCACAAGCUUCUUGUAAGCUUUCCAAUUAAUCAUGUCGUUGAGACCCAGCGCCAGAACUGAGGUUCGCCGGAACCGCUACAAGGUAGCUGUUGACGCCGAUGAAGGUCGGCGGAGGAGAGAGGACAACAUGGUGGAGAUCCGAAAGAGCAAGCGCGAAGAGAGUUUGCAGAAGAAGCGCCGCGAAGGUCUACAGGCUCAGCAGUUACAUCC
This 278-nucleotide unclassified non-coding RNA is filed under the name Hevea brasiliensis (rubber tree). The record is from RNAcentral. Lineage: Eukaryota; Viridiplantae; Streptophyta; Magnoliopsida; Malpighiales; Euphorbiaceae.